This 467-nucleotide ribosomal RNA is filed under the name uncultured bacterium. RNAcentral's name for it is "partial 16S ribosomal RNA". It matches the Rfam family "Bacterial small subunit ribosomal RNA", at positions 29 to 507 of the family's 1533-position model. The record is from RNAcentral.
ACGCACGCUGGCGGCGUGCUUAACACAUGCAAGUCGAACGGAAAGGCCCUGCUUUUGUGGGGUGCUCGAGUGGCGAACGGGUGAGUAACACGUGAGUAACCUGCCCUUGACUUUGGGAUAACUUCAGGAAACUGGGGCUAAUACCGGAUAGGAGCUCCUGCUGCAUGGUGGGGGUUGGAAAGUUUCGGCGGCUGGAGAUGGACUCGCGGCUUAUCAGCUUGUUGGUGGGGUAGUGGCUUACCAAGGCUUUGACGGGUAGCCGGCCUGAGAGGGUGACCGGCCACAUUGGGACUGAGGUACGGCCCAGACUCCUACGGGAGGCAGCAGUGGGGAAUAUUGCACAAUGGGCGGAAGCCUGAUGCAGCAACGCCGCGUGCGGGAUGACGGCCUUCGGGUUGUAAACCGCUUUCGCCUGUGACGAAGCGUGAGUGACGGUAAUGGGUAAAGAAGCACCGGCUAACUACGUG